GUGCCAGCAGCCGCGGUAACACCAGCGCCACGAGUGGCUAUCACGAUUAUUGGGCCUAAAGCGUCCGUAGUCGGUUCUGUGCAUCUUCUGUGAAAUCGUUGCGCUUAACGUAACGGCACGCGGGAGACACGGCAGAACUUGAGAGCGGGAGGCGUGUAGGGUACUCCGGGGGGACCGGUAAAAUGGUAUAAUCCCCGGAAGACCACCUGUGGCGAAGGCGCUACACGAGAACGCAUCUGACGAUGAGGGACGAAAGCCAGGGGAGCAAACCGGAUUAGAUACCCCGGUAGUCC
RNAcentral lists this ribosomal RNA (293 nucleotides) under uncultured bacterium. Its description in RNAcentral is "partial 16S ribosomal RNA". It matches the Rfam family "Archaeal small subunit ribosomal RNA", at positions 455 to 747 of the family's 1478-position model. The record is from RNAcentral.